RNAcentral lists this ribosomal RNA (253 nucleotides) under uncultured bacterium. RNAcentral describes it as "partial 16S ribosomal RNA". It matches the Rfam family "Bacterial small subunit ribosomal RNA", at positions 524 to 776 of the family's 1533-position model. The record is from RNAcentral.
UACGUAGGGUGCGAGCGUUAAUCGGAAUUACUGGGCGUAAAGUGUGCGCAGGCGGUCGUUCAAGUCGCGUGUGAAAGCCCCCGGCUCAACUGGGGAGGGUCACGCGAUACUGAUCGACUCGAAGGCAGGAGAGGGAAGUGGAAUUCCCGGUGUAGUGGUGAAAUGCGUAGAUAUCGGGAGGAACACCAGUGGCGAAGGCGGGUCUCUGGGCCGAUACUGACGCUGAGGAGCGAAAGCGUGGGGAGCAAACAGG